Molecule: ribosomal RNA, 490 nt
Filed under: uncultured bacterium
Lineage: Bacteria
Description: partial 16S ribosomal RNA
Rfam family: Bacterial small subunit ribosomal RNA
Source: RNAcentral
UGAACGCUGGCGGCAUGCUUUACACAUGCAAGUCGAACGGUAACAGGCCUUCGGGUGCUGACGAGUGGCGAACGGGUGAGUAAUGCAUCGGAACGUGCCCAGAGGUGGGGGAUAACGCAGCGAAAGCUGUGCUAAUACCGCAUGUGAUCUGAGGAUGAAAGCGGGGGACCAGGCAGCAAUGUUUGGCCUCGCGCCUUUGGAGCGGCCGAUGUCAGAUUAGGUAGUUGGUGGGGUAAAGGCCUACCAAGCCGACGAUCUGUAGCUGGUCUGAGAGGACGACCAGCCACACUGGGACUGAGACACGGCCCAGACUCCUACGGGAGGCAGCAGUGGGGAAUUUUGGACAAUGGGCGCAAGCCUGAUCCAGCAAUGCCGCGUGCGGGAAGAAGGCCUUCGGGUUGUAAACCGCUUUUGUACGGAACGAAAAGGCUCUGGCUAAUACCUGGGGCUGAUGACGGUACCGGAAGAAUAAGCACCGGCUAACUACGUG